Lotus japonicus is the source of this 1279-nucleotide long non-coding RNA. RefSeq lists it as uncharacterized. The transcript has 4 exons. Lineage: Eukaryota; Viridiplantae; Streptophyta; Magnoliopsida; Fabales; Fabaceae. The record is from RefSeq and is a predicted model, not a curated record.
UAUCCCAUCCGUUUUCUUUCUUGAGACUUGAGUCUCCAGUCUCAGUCUCACCUUUGACCUUCCAUUUUCCUUUAAAUUCUUAUUAAUUGUCAGUUAAAACUUAUAAAGUAGCCUUUCUAGUUUCUAAUUCAGACUCUCACUCUCCAGUCUCCAUCUCCAUGAGUCGACCCUAAUUUUUCUGCAUCACCCCCUUUCAACGAUCUGCACCAGCACCACCCUUAUCCACCAUCAACAAACGACGCAGACCAUUGCAGCACAAUACCAUCUCAAUUAUUUUUUUGCAGCUACACAAGAUUCACAAAUGUCUUCUCCACUUGAGAGCAAUCCUAUUGUUGCUGAGGUGAAUGAGCAUGUCCAACCAGAUGCAAUUCAGCUGCAAGAUAACACACAAGAUGGUGAACAAGUCCAAGAUCAGGUCGGUGAAGAAUUGGUAACCAAGAAAAAGAGGAAGAAAACAUCUGCGGUUUGGGCAGAUUUUGAUGAAAUUGAAAUUACCGGAGGUGCAAAGAAAGCAGUUUGCAGAUAUUGCAAAGAAAAAAUUGCUACAGGUGGAAAAGGGGACAGUACUAGCCAUCUGAAAAGGCAUUCAGAAAUUUUCUUACAAAGGAGGGCGCAUAAGGCUACUGAAAAGAAGUAGAGUGUCAUACCAUUUCAACCUUGUAACUCAGGUGCUGUGCUCACAUUUUAAAUUUGUUGGUGCAAGAUGGCUUAAGCAAAAUCAAAAGUGUCAUUGUCAAUAUUCGUGAAGGGACAUGAAUCUAGUGAAGAAAUGAAGAUUUGGUGAAAAGAUAAAGAGUUUUGGAAGGUUUGGGAAAAAUCAGCUGAGCCCUUUAGAAACCAGCUGAGCCCAUUUUAUCCUGUCAGAAAAGAGCUGAGCGUCCAAGAAAGGGGCUGAGCGUCUUCAAGGCGGUUAAAGAAAACCCAUCCCUAAAGUAACAGGGCGCUAAGCGGCCAUAAAAGGGGCUGAGCGGUCGUGCCAGAUUUUCCAUUUAAAAGGAAAAUUUAAUCGGAACAGAGGAAAAACAACAGAAGGAACUUUUGAGGAAAGAAACACGAAAUAGCAGAGAAAGAAUAGGAACUUGGAGGCUUGGUGACCUUCCGUCGAGCUGGGAACACGCCGACGCCGCACGGAUGAUCUUCUUCUUCAUUUUCCCUUAUUGUAAGCUUAUAGCAUCCAUGGAAAUGGAUUGCUAAACCUUUUGUGUUGGGAUUGGAUGUAGUCUUUUAACUUGAAUGUAUUUACUUUGAUUUCCAUGUAUAAAUUCAUGUUUCUAUGUGA